CGCUCUUGUUUCUCUUCAUAAUGUAUAAAUCUUUCGCCUUUUACUAAAGAUUUCCGUGGAGGGGAACAACAAGAGUUUAUUCCAAUUUUGGGAACAGCAGUGGCGCAGUGGU
Parambassis ranga (Indian glassy fish) is the source of this 112-nucleotide small nuclear RNA. Its record names the gene U5. It matches the Rfam family "U5 spliceosomal RNA". From Rfam's summary of the family: U5 RNA is a component of both types of known spliceosome. The precise function of this molecule is unknown, though it is known that the 5' loop is required for splice site selection and p220 binding, and that both the 3' stem-loop and the Sm site are important for Sm protein binding and cap methylation. Lineage: Eukaryota; Metazoa; Chordata; Actinopteri; Ambassidae. The record is from Ensembl.